This 500-nucleotide ribosomal RNA is filed under the name uncultured bacterium. RNAcentral's name for it is "partial 16S ribosomal RNA". It matches the Rfam family "Bacterial small subunit ribosomal RNA", at positions 30 to 523 of the family's 1533-position model. The record is from RNAcentral.
AUUGAACGCUGGCGGCAUGCCUUACACAUGCAAGUCGAACGGCAGCACGGGAGCAAUCCUGGUGGCGAGUGGCGAACGGGUGAGUAAAGUAUCGGAACGUGCCCAGUCGUGGGGGAUAACGUGGCGAAAGUUACGCUAAUACCGCAUACGAUCUAUGGAUGAAAGCGGGGGAUCGCAAGACCUCGCGCGAUUGGAGCGGCCGAUAUCAGAUUAGGUAGUUGGGGGGGUAAAGGCUCACCAAGCCGACGAUCUGUAGCUGGUCUGAGAGGACGACCAGCCACACUGGGACUGAGACACGGCCCAGACUCCUACGGGAGGCAGCAGUGGGGAAUUUUGGACAAUGGGCGAAAGCCUGAUCCAGCCAUGCCGCGUGCAGGAUGAAGGCCUUCGGGUUGUAAACUGCUUUUGUACGGAGCGAAAAGGUUUGGCCUAAUAAGCUGAGCUCAUGACGGUACCGUAAGAAUAAGCACCGGCUAACUACGUGCCAGCAGCCGCCGUAA